AGGUAUGAUCUCAAUGUAAUAAUUAUGUAUUUGACAUCUAGCACAUUCUGCAUAGAAAAGAUACAUGUAAGUUAAAAUUUUAGUAAAGGAAUAUUUUUUUCCUCUUUUUUCCCCUUUUUAGACUUUAUGAAAAUCAGAAUUUCAUAUGAUAAAAUCUUGUUUGUUUGGCUGAAGUCCUAGAUUAGCAGAUUUCACUUUUAUGUUUAAGUACUGAUUAUCUACUAUUCCAAAGCACAAAAUACCAUUUUUUUAUUUUAACUUGGAUUUUUGUUUUGCUUAUAUUUAAAGGUUUUUUUUCAUCCUGAUUUUGACAAGACAUAGCUUAUUCUAAACUUUUAACAAUAUAAAAUGUCCUGAAAACUCAAGAAACUGAGUGCUUCAUUUUCUGGAGGCUUGAAGUGAUAAUCUUAUGGCUGCUUACCUACAAGAUGAUUGAAUGGAUAAAUAAUAGAAAUUAUGAUUAAAUAUAUCAAAUAAAUACUUUGGAAAAUUAUCUUAGAUACUUAAUAUCAGACACCCAAAAUUAGAGUUCAUCUUACAUUUUAUAUUUUUUGUCUAAAUUCCCCAGGUGUAAACACUUAUAUUUUACUUAACCAGGUUUUGUAUGAAUAUACUGCAGUAAUCACCAAGAGCCACAGGCUUACAAGAAAAUAAAAUACCUAUUUUCAUAGAAUGGUUUGAAUACUUGUACAUUAAGUGGGGACUGGGUCUUGAGCAGUGGUAAAACAAACUAUUUGAAUAACUUCUUCUGAAUUAGGUGCAACAAACUAUGCAAGAAGUUCAUCAUGAAACCAAGUAUCCAGAAUCAUUUCACAGUGAAGUUGCACAAGUUUUUGCCAACACUGGGUGGAACAGUACUGGUCAAUAAAGGAAAUAUUGGGAGCUAAGUAGCAGCAAUUUAAGGUGAACAGAGAACACGUCUGACAUAUAACUUAACUCACUUUGGAAAGCUACGUGGCCCAAUGGGAUUCAUCUCAGGGUACCCAAAGAGCUGGACUCCAUAAGUACAGAAGAUGUUGGAAACAUUUUUCUUGGAUCUGGACAAUACUUCUGCAGUCUUUAAUUGGACUUCUGCAAUGUGUUCAGCCUGACACUACAGCUACAAGUAAACUGCAGAAAAAUAUCGUUAAUUCAUGGUAAGUGGAAUUACUCUUCUAAAAGUGUCGAGGUCACUGACUGAGAUGUGAGAAGGUC
RNAcentral lists this long non-coding RNA (1194 nucleotides) under Anser brachyrhynchus (Pink-footed goose). RNAcentral's name for it is "lncRNA (ENSABRG00000020673.1)". The record is from RNAcentral. Lineage: Eukaryota; Metazoa; Chordata; Aves; Anseriformes; Anatidae.